CCGCGCGCACCCCCCCAGCACCGCUGUGAGGCCCAUGCUCCACGCCCCAUGGAGGGCGGAUGACGUACCACGCCUUCCGCGUCAAGCUGAGGAGACUGAAGCACAGAGAAGUCAACUGGCUUGCCCAAGGUCAUAGGGUUGAGAAAGGGGACUGAUUGCAAAGUCCAGCUAGAGCAAGAACUAAAAGCUAUCAUUUGUUUGAACUGUGGUUGUUUUGAACAGAGGCUGCGGCGCCUGGCUGAUAGCAAAGAUUCAGUCUGUUUUUGCAUCCUCCUCUUUGGCCAUGUCCUUCGAGGCUCUGAGGUUCAAAGAUGAAAGACGCCCAUGGCCUGGAGUGGAAGAUGUGGAGUUGGGGCAAACACGUCUUCAGUCCCCCAGCCUGGCCUCCACGUGACCCUCACUGCCCUGUCAUAAUCACGAUGCCUGUCAUCGCUGACCCUGUGUGGAGUGUUGUGUACCAGGCACUGUCUUGUGUACGAGACGUCCAGUAAUCAGUGGCACAAUGGUGAGUGUUUAACAAUCAGCAUCUGGGGAAAUCCCUGAUCCGCAGCAUUUUCCAAUCUCCGUGAUAUGGAUAUUUCCACCUCCACCACGGCUGAUUCAAGCUAUCAACAUGGUGUCAUUGGCUGCGACUUGGGAAAAGACUUGCAGAACUGGUUCUCAUAGGUGGCUCCAGAACACUAAUAAUUGACAACUCACACAGCCUGGUGUUAUGGAACUAAGGCCCAGAGCAGGGCCGCAUCCAGCACCAACUAGAUGAUAGCCUCUUCAAAGGCAAGGAGCCCAGCACGAAGUAUUAGUACAGGCACAUACUAAGUGACCAGUGAAUAUCUGAAGAGCUGAACUGAAUGCUUUGAUUUCAGUUGAAUAAACCACCUUGUCCAAGGAACAAGGGGACUGCUAGCAGGGACCACAGCUGCAACCCAUGACCCUCAGCUUUCGGGGAUAAUGCUGUAAGUAUGCAUUUCAGGGUGAAUUCUGAGGAUUGCCCCAUCCAAGAAAGGAGGUGGACUGUCCUGUUCACUCUUGGGAAGGGCGCAGAGGGGCUAUGGAUUCACACGUUGCAUUGUCAAUGCCCCUUUCUUUUGCUAUCACCAUCUAGAGAAGUGUGACCCAACACCAGUGUGUUGGGGACUGGAUAAGACCAAGAGCACCAAAGGUGACACUGUGGAGCACCUCACAGUUUUCAAAGUUUUUUCCCUUGCAUGAUAUUAGUGUUUCCCAAGGUCUGGGAGCAUUCCACUGGGGGCAACCAGUAUGACUUCAGGGGUCAUGACCCUUGUAAGAUGUUGAUACUUAGACAUUUACUUUGAUAUGUUGGAUUCAGUGAGACCAAGAAAUGACAAUGGAAUGUUUCUUGAGAUAAAAGCGUUUAUACCCAGGUUUAUUCCCAUAGCGUAGGUUGAGCACUAGAAUCAUGUCUGCAUACAGCUGUCAGCAGGUCCAUAACCCACCUCCACUUCUGUCUCUGUCCAGACCACUGGGCAGAGCUCUUUAUAUAGUGACUGAGUCACUAAUAGCUCAUUGCCUACGGGUGUGGGAGCAGUAGCCUAGCAGAAGGCCAGUUACAUCAUCAAAUAGUUUAGAGUCAGGUGAGGAUCCUGGCCAUGGGAACUUCCAUUUUCCCCACAUAUGUAUUCAAAAGUAUUUCUAGCACAUUAUGUCAGUUAGGAAUAGGUUUAACUGCAUUUAAAGACAACAAUAAAGC
This is a non-coding RNA of Manis javanica (Malayan pangolin), 1708 nucleotides long. The record is from RefSeq and is a predicted model, not a curated record. Lineage: Eukaryota; Metazoa; Chordata; Mammalia; Pholidota; Manidae.